RNAcentral lists this ribosomal RNA (301 nucleotides) under uncultured bacterium. RNAcentral's name for it is "partial 16S ribosomal RNA". It matches the Rfam family "Bacterial small subunit ribosomal RNA", at positions 509 to 807 of the family's 1533-position model. The record is from RNAcentral.
CAGCCGCCGCGGUAAUACAGAGGGUGCGAGCGUUAAUCGGAUUUACUGGGCGUAAAGCGUGCGUAGGCGGCUUCUUAAGUCGGAUGUGAAAUCCCUGAGCUUAACUUAGGAAUUGCAUUCGAUACUGGGAAGCUAGAGUAUGGGAGAGGAUGGUAGAAUUCCAGGUGUAGCGGUGAAAUGCGUAGAGAUCUGGAGGAAUACCGAUGGCGAAGGCAUCCAUCUGGCCUAAUACUGACGCUGAGGUACGAAAGCAUGGGGAGCAAACAGGAUUAGAUACCCCAGUAGUCCCUGUCUCUUAUAC